CCGGUCCUCCACAGCCGAGGCUCGCAGGCGGACCCCGCCGACGCCGACGCCGACGCCGCCGUCACUCGGCCCUCGCACGCCUCCAAGGCGUUCCUGGCGCCCGUCGAGAGCAUCACCUCGGCGCCCCCGCUGCCCCCGGAGAGCCGGCCGGCCUCCACCCCGCUCCAGAACAAGUCCGCCGCCGGGCAUGGCAAGUCCCAGAAGCUCUUCCCGGUCCUGGACACCGACUACGACCGCAUCCGGCAGCCCUUCGAGAUUUCCCUCUGGAUCCUGCUGGCCUGCCUGAUGAAGCUNNAGUCCAAUUAGGGGCUCCUACGUUCACAGCCCUUCAACUUAACAAAAAGGUGAGUAAGAGGGAGAGGGACACAAUGGAGGUAUAUAAAAUUACUGUAUGUCACAUGAGCAAGGGGCUGGACUCAAUCAUAGGCCCCUUCCAACUCUGUGAUUCUGUCUGGAAAGAGGGUGCAGGGGGAGGUCUCUUACAAUACUUUUAGCUACUGCCAACUUCAUUAUACUUUGACUAGGCCGAUCCAAAGAGUGGGGGGAGAUAAUAGAGUGGAGAAGAGAAAGUUCUUCUCUAUCUAGCCUACAGAAGAUAAACUACUGUGUUUGCCAUAACAGGUAGUGAUAGUUACCAGCUUGAGGAUCUCUGAAGGGAAAUUAGACAAAUUCAUUUCAGAUAAGGCUAUUAAUAAUGGAUACACAUUUCCUCCGGCGCGAGAGGCACUGUGUCUCCAUAAGUAUCAGCUGCUGGGGAACGUGAGUGGGAGAAUAUUUUUGCCUGCAUGUCCUGCUUCUCAGAGCAAACCAGUUGGCCACUGUGGGAAUAGCAUGAUGGACUACACAGGUGAAUUAGUGAGACUUAUCCAUCACCAGAAAGCCCCCACUGAUUUGCAUAAUAUUGCAUAUGCUGAUGUCUAUGUGCAAAUGCAAAACGUACAAAUGCAAUGUACAGACAAUUUUUAAGAGUCCAAACAGAACUUCAGUGCAUCUCACUUGAGUGUAGAAGACUAUGGCCAGGAAACUUGCAUGUCUGGUGUUGAGUCUCUGGCUACCUAUGUCUUGCUAACUGGAUGAGCAAUGUUAAGGACUCUAAUUGCCGUCCUUAUGGCUCCUGAUUAUUCAGACAUGAACUGGACAGCCAUUCAAACAAAGUGAUGAAAGUUAGUGUUUGUGAUUAUUUUUUUUUAGUGGCCAAAUAGAGGCAUCACCUGCUACUGCCUUCGGAUUAUUAUCUUUUAUGUUUCAAUGUACUGUAUUUUUAAAAUAAAUGUUAACUUUUUCAUUUUCUUAGAAUAAAG
Molecule: long non-coding RNA, 1301 nt
Filed under: Pogona vitticeps (central bearded dragon)
Lineage: Eukaryota; Metazoa; Chordata; Lepidosauria; Squamata; Agamidae
Description: lncRNA (ENSPVIG00000013271.1)
Source: RNAcentral